GACGAACGCUGGCGGCGUGCUUAACACAUGCAAGUCGAACGGGAGGAAAAGAGAAGCUUGCUUCUUUUUGAAUCUAGUGGCAAACGGGUGAGUAACACGUAAACAACCUGCCUUCAGGAUGGGGACAACAGACGGAAACGACUGCUAAUACCGAAUGUGUUCCGGAGACCGCAUGAUUUCCGGAAGAAAGGAUGGCCUCUAUUUAUAAGCUAUCGCCUGAAGAGGGGUUUGCGUCUGAUUAGGCAGUUGGUGAGGUAACGGCCCACCAAACCUACGAUCAGUAGCCGGUCUGAGAGGAUGAACGGCCACACUGGAACUGAGACACGGUCCAGACUCCUACGGGAGGCAGCAGUGGGGAAUCUUCCGCAAUGGACGAAAGUCUGACGGAGCAACGCCGCGUGAGUGAUGACGGCC
Molecule: ribosomal RNA, 414 nt
Filed under: uncultured bacterium
Lineage: Bacteria
Description: bacterial SSU rRNA
Rfam family: Bacterial small subunit ribosomal RNA
Source: RNAcentral